CUCCGCUUCCCUCUUGGCCUUCUAGCCACAGGCCUUCGCGCGGCCGGCUCAUCGAGGAGCGGUUCAGUCCCGGGGCCAAUGGCCUGUGGCCGGAAUGGUUGAAUUCACAGAGGCUGAUAGCUCUAAGUUGCUAAGAGCUGGAGAGAGUGAUUGUCACCUGAGGGGUAAGGAGCUGAUGAAAGCUAGUCAGACUUCCCAGAUGACCAGAACGCCUCUUGCCUGCACACAGUCCUGCCCAAGUGGACUAUAACGGACUGAAGAAGAAGGGGUGCGGUUUGUAAAGGUGCUUACAGCUGAGCUGGACGCCACCGUCAGCCUGAGUAGGCACGCUCUGGCUGCUGCCUCUGAGCCACCGGCAGUGCUUUCCCAGGCCUGCUGUUUCUGAGAAAGUUACUCCUUUCAGGCUGCUGAGCUGGAUCUGUGUCACCUCAGACCUCUGUUUUUUUGUGGACAUGCGUGUGGGCGAUCCAGUGGGAGGAACUAGGAGACCUGGGACAGAGGCCUGAGUGAUUCCAGCAGCACGGAAUCCUUCUGAAACAUUGAUACUCAAGUCUGCAUAAAGUUCAGAGUUUCUUUGUUUUCUGUUUGUCACAAAGUGUCUUUCUCUCCAGCAAGUCAAAGUGAAGAAAAAAAUGGCUUGAGCUAUUGUGAACUGCAAGAGGCAAAACCCCAGUUAAGUCCCAAGUUAUGAAC
Bos taurus (domestic cattle) is the source of this 693-nucleotide long non-coding RNA. The record is from Ensembl. NCBI's taxonomy places the organism in Eukaryota, Metazoa, Chordata, Mammalia, Artiodactyla, Bovidae.